This 616-nucleotide ribosomal RNA is filed under the name uncultured bacterium. RNAcentral's name for it is "bacterial SSU rRNA". It matches the Rfam family "Bacterial small subunit ribosomal RNA", at positions 338 to 951 of the family's 1533-position model. The record is from RNAcentral.
CCUACGGGAGGCAGCAGUGGGGAAUUUUGGACAAUGGGCGAAAGCCUGAUCCAGCAAUGCCGCGUGCAGGAAGAAGGCCUUCGGGUUGUAAACUGCUUUUGUACGGAACGAAACGGUCUGCUUUAAUACAGUGGGCUAAUGACGGUACCGUAAGAAUAAGCACCGGCUAACUACGUGCCAGCAGCCGCGGUAAUACGUAGGGUGCGAGCGUUAAUCGGAAUUACUGGGCGUAAAGCGUGCGCAGGCGGUUAUAUAAGACAGUUGUGAAAUCCCCGGGCUCAACCUGGGAAUUGCAUCUGUGACUGUAUAGCUAGAGUACGGUAGAGGGGGAUGGAAUUCCGCGUGCAGCAGUGAAAUGCGUAGAUAUGCGGAGGAACACCGAUGGCGAAGGCAAUCCCCUGGACCUGUACUGACGCUCAUGCACGAAAGCGUGGGGAGCAAACAGGAUUAGAUACCCUGGUAGUCCACGCCCUAAACGAUGUCAACUGGUUGUUGGGUGCAUUAGUACUCAGUAACGAAGCUAACGCGUGAAGUUGACCGCCUGGGGAGUACGGCCGCAAGGUUGAAACUCAAAUGAAUUGAGGCUGAGACGNGCGAGGNGACACGAGGGAGGAGG